Mastomys coucha (southern multimammate mouse) is the source of this 100-nucleotide small nucleolar RNA. RefSeq annotates it as small nucleolar RNA SNORA44. The transcript has a single exon. The record is from RefSeq and is a predicted model, not a curated record. NCBI's taxonomy places the organism in Eukaryota, Metazoa, Chordata, Mammalia, Rodentia, Muridae.
CAGCAUGUUUCCAAGGACCAUGGCUGGUUGUGGCCAUGGGAUCUCCAACUGUAGACUGGAGAAACAGUGCCUGAAGCUGCCACUCAGCUUUCCUAUACAU